UAGAAAUGAGGAUUAACCCCCGAUGGCGUGGAUUUUCCGCAUGGGAUAUCCACUAAAGUUUACGGCACGGGAUGGGGAUGCGUUCCAUUAGAUGGUAGGCGGGGCAACGGCCCACCUAGUCGACGAUGGAUAGGGGUUCUGAGAGGAAGGUCCCCCACAUUGGAACUGAGACACGGUCCAAACUCCUACGGGAGGCAGCAGUGAGGAAUAUUGGUCAAUGGGCGCGAGCCUGAACCAGCCAAGUAGCGUGGAGGAAGAAUGCCCUACGGGUUGUAAACUCCUUUUGGCGGAGGAUAACGUGCGCCACGUGUGGUGCAGUGCAGGUAUCCGCCGAAUAAGGGCCGGCUAAUUCCGUGCCAGCAGCCGCGGUAAUACGGAAGGCCCGAGCGUUAUCCGGAUUUAUUGGGUUUAAAGGGAGCGUAGGCGGGAGCUCAAGUCAGCUGUGAAACUGCGCCGCUCAACGGCGCCGAGCAGUUGAAACUGGGUUUCUUGAGUCCGCAAGAGGUGCGUAGAA
This 514-nucleotide ribosomal RNA is filed under the name uncultured Bacteroidales bacterium. Its description in RNAcentral is "bacterial SSU rRNA". It matches the Rfam family "Bacterial small subunit ribosomal RNA", at positions 151 to 666 of the family's 1533-position model. Lineage: Bacteria; Pseudomonadati; Bacteroidota; Bacteroidia; Bacteroidales. The record is from RNAcentral.